This is a non-coding RNA of Maylandia zebra (zebra mbuna), 267 nucleotides long. NCBI's taxonomy places the organism in Eukaryota, Metazoa, Chordata, Actinopteri, Cichliformes, Cichlidae. The record is from RefSeq and is a predicted model, not a curated record.
CGCCUCCUGCCAGGAAGCAGCUCACCUGUUUUUUCGUGUUUAUUGUCCAGGUGUGGAACUUGUUGUUGGUGUGUGUGAAGAAACUACUGACUGAAGUCCGCAAGAAGAUGAUGAUGGAGGACGAGGAGAACAGAGCAGAGUCUGCAGGAGCCAGCUGUCCAUCUAUGAGGAGUGACAGGUCCAAACCUCAACCUCCAGACUUCAGUGCUGAACCUGGACAAACUAGGUUGAGGAUCUGUGGUUUGUCAGAGAUGAACUGUGAUUAUC